GAGCAUAGACGACUAUGCUACUGCAUUUACUAAGAAAAUGAAGUUGUUUCCGUACCUUGUGCCAACAGAACUCUCCAAGAUAGAGAGGUUUGCUAAUGGACUGCCUGCCGACCUUGGUCCGACAGUCAAGAUGGCAACUACUCUGAAAACGGUUGUUCGUGCAGCUAAGAAUGUGGAGGCCCAGCAGAAGGAAAAGGGUCUGGAAAGGAUAGAUGUUGGAGAAAAGAGGAAGUUCGAUGGAACUUUAGGGUCCAACAAGAAAAACAAGUUCUCGAAGUCUGGUUCGAGGGGAAGUGGAGGUGAAGCGAAGUGGUGCGACAAAUGUAAGAAGAAGCAUCACGGAAGAUGUGAGGUGGCGAACACAUGCUACAAGUGUGGAAAGCCAGGGCACUAUGCCAAUGAAUGUACCCUCACUAAGAAAGUUUGCUAUGGUUGUGGUGAGGAGGGACACAUGUCGAGGGACUGCCCGAAGAAGAAGGAGGCAACUAGACCCAACAUUCCACCAAAGCCAAAGGCGAGAGCAUUCCAGAUGACACUGGAAGCUGCUAAAGAUGAAGCUGAUGUCGCUUCAGGUACCUUUCUCGUUAACGAAUUGCCUGCCCAAAUUUUAUUUGAUUCUGGAGCCAACUACUCCUUUAUAUCGCAUGAAUUUGGUAGAAAGCUAGCUUUGCCUGUUGUUAGACUAGAUGAUGCCUUAUUAGUCGAAGUUGCUAGUGGCAAGUUUGUACCUGUUAGCCAUCGUAUGAAAAACAUCUUAAUUGAUCUGAAUGGGAAUAAGUUCCACGAGGAAUUAUUGCCUAUAGAACUUAAUGGUUUCGACAUCGUGCUUGGAAUGGAUUGGCUUAGCGCCAAUGAUGCCGAAAUUUUAUGCAAGAAGAAAAUAGUCAAAGUAAACCCGCCUGGGAAAGAUUCGUUUAUGGUGUAUGGGGACAAACGCAGAGUGAAUUCUGGAAUCAUUUCAUUGAUGAAAGCCAGAAAAUGUUUGACCAAGGGGUGUACAUCAUAUCUAGCAUUCGUGAUUGAUGCUAAGAAGGAAAAGAAGGUGAUGCAGAAUAUUCCAGUUGUGUGUGAUUAUCCGGAAGUAUUUCCCGAAGAUCUUCCUGGAUUACCGCCUGAUCGACAAGUGGAAUUCCGUAUUGACUUGUUGCCAGGAACAACGCCAAUUGCGAAAGCACCUUAUCGAUUAGCACCGACGGAGAUGAAGGAGCUAAUGAUGCAACUUCAGGAGUUAUUGGACAAAGGUUUCAUUAGACCUAGUUCAUCACCCUGGGGAGCUCCGGUGUUAUUUGUAAAGAAGAAAGAUGGAAGUAUGAGAAUGUGCAUUGAUUACAGAGAGCUGAACAAGGCAACAAUAAAGAAUAGAUAUCCGUUGCCGAGGAUUGAUGACCUGUUUGAUCAAUUGCAAGGUUCGAGCUAUUUCUCGAAGAUCGAUCUUAGGUCAGGAUAUCAUCAGCUAAAAGUAAGAGAGCAAGAUAUCGAGAAGACUGCAUUCAGAACUAGAUAUGGACACUACGAGUUCUUGGUUAUGUCGUUUGGACUAACCAAUGCUCCAGCAGCGUUCAUGGAUUUGAUGAAUAGGGUUUGUAACCCGUUCCUUGAUAAAUCCGUGAUAGUGUUCAUAGACGACAUUCUGAUUUACUCGAAAAGCCAGGAGGAGCAUGGCAGACACUUGCGAGAAGUGUUAGAAGUUUUGAAGAAGGAGAAGCUGUAUGCUAAGUUCUCCAAAUGUGAUUUUUGGAUUCGUGAAGUCCAAUUCUUGGGUCACGUGGUCAACCAAGAAGGGAUAAUGGUUGAUCCAGCGAAGAUCGAAGCUGUGACGAAGUGGGAACAACCGAAAAGUCCCACGGAGAUUCGAAGCUUUUUAGGAUUAGCCGGAUAUUACCGAAGGUUUAUCCAAGGCUUUUCUUCGAUUGCUACUCCAUUGACAGCUUUGACCCACAAAGGAGCUACUUAUGCUUGGAGUGAGAAGCAUAAAGAAGCAUUCGAGAAGUUAAAGAAGAAGCUAUGCGAGGCACCGAUACUUUCUCUACCCGAUGGAGUUGAAGACUUCGCUGUUUAUAGCGAUGCGUCUGGUGUUGGAUUGGGUUGUGUUUUGACCCAAAGAGAAAAGGUGAUAGCAUAUGCGUCUCGACAGCUGAAAGAGCAUGAAAAGAAUUACCCGACUCAUGAUUUGGAGUUGGCAGCGGUAGUUUUCGCUCUGAAAAUAUGGAGGCAUUACCUCUAUGGCACGAAGUGCAAACUUUUCACUGAUCAUAAGAGUCUCCAAUACCUCUUUAAUCAGAAAGAAUUGAAUAUGAGGCAACGACGCUGGCUAGAAUUACUUAAAGACUAUGACUGCGAGAUACUUUACCACCCCGGUAAAGCUAAUGUUGUUGCUGAUGCUCUCAGUCGGAAAGUCAAUCUUGAAAGGAAGAGGCCAAGAGCGUUGAGAAUUGAAGUUGUCUCGACUAUUGUGGAAAGUAUAAAGAAAGCUCAAGAGGAAGCUUCUGAGAAAAAUGACCGAAAGGAGGAACGUUUGGGUAAAACGUUGGUGUUUGGUACUAACGGUCAUGGACUGAAGGUAUUCCAAGAUCGUAUUUGGGUACCUAAGUCAGGAGGAAUUAGGGAUCUUCUGAUGGAAGAAGCUCACAAAACCAUGUACUCAAUUCAUCCGGGUAGCACUAAAAUGUAUAGGGACCUGAAACCCUACUACUGGUGGCCGACGAUGAAGCUUGAUGUUGCAAAGUAUGUGGCCGAGUGUGUGACUUGUGCGAGAGUCAAGACACAACAUCAGAAACCUUACGGGAGUUUAGAACCAUUGCCUGUGCCUAUGGGUAAGUGGGAAGACAUUGCUAUGGAUUUUGUCACUAAACUGCCCAGAACAAAGAAUGGUCACGACAUGAUUUGGGUGGUCGUUGAUCGAUUCACUAAGAGUGCGCAUUUCAUAGCGGCCAGGGAGAAAUGGUCUAUGGAAAAGCUUGCGAAUUCUUACGUGAAGGAAAUUGUGAGGCUUCACGGUGUUCCGUUAACGAUUGUAUCGGAUCGUGAUAGCCGUUUCACCUCAAGGUUUUGGAAAAGUCUACAAGAGGAAAUGGGUACCAAGUUAUGUUUAAGCACAGCUUACCAUCCGCAGACUGAUGGUCAGAGUGAAAGAACAAUACAAACACUUGAAGAUAUGCUGAGAGCAUGUACCUUGGAAUUCCUAGGUAAUUGGGAUGAACAUUUACCGUUGGUAGAAUUUUCCUAUAAUAAUAGUUUUCACUCGAGCAUUAAGAUGGCACCUUAUCAAGCUUUGUAUGGACAGAAGUGUCGUACGCCGUCUUGUUGGCUUGAGGCUGGGGAAAAGCAGUUUAUGGGACCGGAGAUGGUUCAUCAAACUGCUGAAAAGUUGAAAAUAAUUAGGGAAAGAAUGUUAGCAGCUCAAGAUCGUCAAAAGAGCUAUGCUGACAAGAAGCGAAGACCGAUGACUUUUGAGGUUGGAGAUUCGGUUUUGCUUAAAGUCUCGCCGUGGAAGGGACUUAUAAGAUUUGGUAAAAGGGGAAAGUUGAGUCCAAGGUUUAUUGGACCGUUUAAAGUCCUUCAGAGGAUUGGGAAUCAAGCUUACAAGCUCGAAUUACCCGAAGAACUGAAUGGAAUUCACAACACCUUUCAUGUGUGUUAUUUGAGGAAGUUCACGGGAGAAGUUCCCGAUAUAAUUCCAAUUUCUGAAUUGAGAAUUGAUGAGAACAAAAGGUUGAUUGAAGAACCAGAGGCAAUUGUUGACCGAAAGACUAAGAAGUUGCGACGCAAAAUGGUUGGGUUAGUGCUUGUCCGAUGGAAACACACGAAUGGGCCGAAUCUCACCUGGGAGACGGAGAGUGACAUGUUGAGUCGCUAUCCGCAUUUGUUUGUUGAUGUGUGAUUCCGGGGACGGAAUCAUUCUAAGGUGGAGAGAAUUGUAACGCCUGUGUUUCCGGGCUUGCCAUUUUUAGCAAUGUAAUAGUCUAGGUUAACCUUUGUAACCCGUUUUGAAAUAAUAAGAUUGUAUUAUUUGAGUAUUAUGUGUUUUGUGCUUAAUUGCUUAAUUAUGUGGUUUGAUUAAUUAAGAAUAAAAAUAAGCGUCAAAAUUUAAGUGUAAAAUAAACUUAAUAUCUUUGGUUAAUGUUGUAGUAGUUGAAACGAGGUUUCCGAAUAUAUAUAGAACGCCCAAAUCUGACUUCGUAUGAGGAAGUUAUGAUUUAUCGAAGUUCCGGCUUAGCGAUAUACAGCCUGUUUUACUCGAUUUGAGAUCGAGCGGUUGUUAGCCGAAGCAAUCUAAAUGAGAAUCGAAGAUCUCAUUGUUGGUAUUGAAACGAUAAAAAGUUAGGCGAGAACGGACGUCAAACGAAGAAGUUAUGAAUUUAUAACGAAAGUUUCUGUCCCGGCCUAUUAAAAAUAAUUAAUAAAAAUAAAGUCAAAAUUAGCCGACGGAGUCUAAACGAAAGUCGUAGAGCGUGGUCUCACCUUCGCGUGGAUAUAAAGAACGUCGAAAACGGAGUUCGUAUGAAGAAGUUAUGAAUUUCCGAAGUUUAUUAAUCAUUUUGUAUUUAUUUUUAAUUCAAAAUUCGGAAGCAUUAUCCGAAGGAGUCACCGAUCUGAUCCGAGGUACGCCCCGCGUACUCGAGUACGCCCCGCGUACUCCGAGGGAUGUCGACACUCGCACUCGAGCACUUCGGAUACGUAAGCAAUGACGUUUUGGGCAGUACGCCCCGCGUAACGCAGUACGCCCCGCGUACUCCGAGGCUCCAGCCUCCUAUAAAUAGGAUGCGAGGGUUCCGGGUAUUUUUGCCAAUUCCCUCUCGUUUUCGUGUCGAAGCUCUGUGCAAAAACCCCCGAAGCUACCCCGAAGUCCCGGUAUCAUACUCUAGCCCCGAGGCAAGUCCCGAGAUCCUGAAGAUCCCGAAAAGUGCGGUUCCCGAGUCGAAGCUCUGCCCGCGAGAAGUUCGAUUUUCGAGAAGAUCUUCCAGAUCUGCUGUGGAUUACUACUUCUAUAAGCCGUAGUGCUGUCCGAUCAUCUUCUGAUCAAGUGAGUGUGUAGUUAUUUCUUCUAAUACAAUAAUACGAAGUAUUUUAUAUAAAAAUACGUGCUAUGUGUAUAUAUUUGGUUGUGUUAUGUGUGAAUGAGUAUUCACUCUCUUCUAUCUUAUAGAUCUGCUUAUUUCUUUAUGAGAUAUGUGUUAUGUGUGUGUGUGCCUCAUCUGUUAUGUGAUAUAUGUGUUGAUUAAAGCAUGCUAUACAGGUUUUCUUUAAACUAUGUAUACAAAUGUAUAUUUUUAUCUACUAAUAUGUUGGGUAGAACAUGGGUAGACAGUUGGUGUGUAAUAAACAGAUGAGAGGCCUCGUUGUUGUUUGAUUGAGUCAUCUAGCGGAGUUUAGAUGACGACCACUGGCUAUUCUAGACAGUCUUGUGGAAACAUUAGCAGGUUCGCCACCUGUAGGUGUUAAUGAACUUGGGUGUUCAUUCGCUGUACUCCAUCCCCCUCAUGGUUGCCUUAUUUGACUUAUAUUGCUGAGGUACCCCCGAAGCAUGUGUUGUCGCCCCGAUGAAAUAUUCUUAGACUAGGUCCCUUAUGUUAGUUGUUUUAGGGACAUUAAAGUGAGAAUAACGGGAAUGGGUAAUUGGGUUAUUGUUGGUUGGUGAAAAUUAAAUAUGAUAUUUAUUGUGGGUUGAAAACCCUAUAUGCUCACCAGGCUCCCAAGCCUGACCCACUCAGUUUUAAAUUGUAUUACAGGUAGUGGCGGAAGGGCAUGAGAUGGAUGAACCAUCAAGUUGUUUUGUUUACAAGUCUGCAUAUGUUUAUAUUUGUUAUAUGACUUGUAAUGUAUUCGUUUAUGCUUAUUGGUCUGUAUCGGAACAUGACACCCCGAGUUUUGAUUAUAAUGAAAAUACAUUUCUUUUAUGAAAUGCUUCGGUAAACAAUGUUUUAUCAUGUUUUGUUUUUGGGAACAAAUUCCGCAACUCUUUCAAAUCAAAAGGAUUUACUCUGAAAAUAUUUAAAAGCAUAAAUGAAAAUCGGUCUUUUCUGGCCGAGAUUUUGGGGAUGUCACAGUUGGUAUCAGAGCAUUAGUUUAAGCGAACUAGGAAUUUGUAGGAUUUCUAGACUUAAACUUAGAAUGCUAAGUGAAGUUUUGAGAUGUGUGUCUGUUGUGAUUUAGACACGAGCACUAGUUUAUUUUAGGAAAGUUGCCUAAAAUGCUUUAUGUGCUAAAUGUUAUAUGUUGCCAUAUAUGAUAUUAUUUGUUCGGAUCUAUGGUCUGUUGCCGACCGGAUCUAGAAACCUUAUGUGUGUAGGAUUCUAAGCGUACGUCUACGAUAUUAGAACUAGCAUGUAAACGUUUCGGAGUGAUAAGGAUGAUUUGAAUAUCUAUCAUGAUUGAGGAUCUAAUUUCACCUUAUUCGGUGUAGAUCAAAAUGGUGAGAACAAGAAGUGGAGUUGGAAAUGCUGACGAAAACAGGAAUCAACCACCAGUGAUUGAGCCAAUACCUGUCGUAGCAGCAGCACCUGAGCCAAUAACCAUGGCUGGUGUGCAAUUGAUGAUUCAGACGAUGUUGGAUCGUCAGAUGGAUGAAACUAGACGGUUGCUUCAACAAAAUCGUGAAGAACUGUCGAUUCGUGUGGAAGAGCCUGAACUGAAUGAAGGGCACUCGGAAGGUGGAAACUUCAGUGGGUCUGUUGGUCCAGCCAACCCACCGAUAGUUAGGCAAGAUAACCAUGAUGGAAGGAAUGAUGGAAUGGGAUGCAAGUACAAGGACUUUUUGACUUGUAAACCAUCGACCUUCAAUGGAAAGGAGGAUCCGAUUGGGGUUAUGGAUUGGAUCUCCGAAAUGGAGUUAGCCUUUAUGACAUGUGGCUGUAGAGGCAAGUUGCAGACUAUCUAUGCCGUGCGACAAUUCCGAGGUGGAGCCGUUCGUUGGUGGAACACUCUAGGGAAGACCUUAAGCCCUAAUGAGCCACUGCAAUUGUCAUGGGCAGAGUUCUUGGUGCAGUUCAAGCGCAAGUUCUGCUCGGCUCAAAAUCUGUUGGAGUUGGAGAACAAGUUUUUGACAUUGACGAAGGGUAGCAUGUCAGUGGAUGAGUACACCAAUAACUUCACCGAUAAGAUGGAGUUUGCCUUGCGUAUCGUUCCAGACGAGCUGACAAAGGUGGAUCGGUAUGCGAAGGGACUUCCAUGGGAGUACGAGGUGCCGGUACGUCAGGCACUUACUCUAGAGGCAGCUAUCUGGGCUGCCAAGUCUGUGGAGAACAUGAUCAAGGGGAGAACCACCGUCAAGGUUGAGGUUGGUGAGAAAAGGAAGUUUGAAGGAACAUCUGGUUCCAGUAAGAAGAGCAAAUUUUCGAAAUCUGAUUCGAAAAAGUUUGGAGGAAAAGGAGGCGAAGCAAAGUGGUGUGAUAAGUGUAAGAAAAAGCACUUUGGGAAAUGUAGCGAGGAUGUGACCUGCUACAAGUGUGGAAAGGUUGGACAUUUUGCCAAUGAAUGUCCGAACAACAAAAGGAUGUGUUUUGGGUGUAAUGAAGAGGGGCAUAUUUUGAAAGACUGUCCGAAGAAGAAGGAGGCAGCUAGGCCCAACAUUCCACCAAAGCCGAAGGCGAGAGCCUUCCAGAUGACACUUGAGGCUGCGAAAGAUGAAGCUGAUGUCGCUUCAGGUACCUUUCUCGUAAACGAAUUACCUGCUCAUAUAUUGUUUGAUUCUGGAGCCAACUACUCCUUUAUUUCGCAUGAGUUUGGUAGAAAGCUAGCUUUGCCUGUUGAUAGACUAGAUAAUGCUUUAUUAGUCGAAGUAGCUAGUGGCAAGUUUGUACCUGUUAGCCAUCGUA
This 7814-nucleotide long non-coding RNA is filed under the name Lactuca sativa (garden lettuce). RNAcentral describes it as "long non-coding RNA (LSAT_LNC001736)". Lineage: Eukaryota; Viridiplantae; Streptophyta; Magnoliopsida; Asterales; Asteraceae. The record is from RNAcentral.